UAUAUAUGUGACAGCUGUGGGUUAAGAUUGAAACUUCAUUCCCAGUCCUUCAAUGAAAAUAGUCUCCCUUACCUCCAUCUCUGCAUUAUUGAUUUCAGCUAUCAUGUAUCAAAUCAAACAGGCAAUUUUAAGUCUUGCCAGAAUUUACAAACCUUCUUACUUCGACCACACCCAAAGGUUUAGAAUCCAGGGUCUAAGAGCAGCUCGUUGAGUACAAACACAACAAAAACCAUCAGCGUAUAGGAUGAUACUGGGUAAUACCUCGUUUUGGUGGCAACUUCCUCAAAAUGAAAAGGACUAAGGAUGAAGGUAAUAUCUCCACCAACUGCCCAUCAAAAGAAAACAAACCAACCAACAAAAUUCAUUUAAAAUGUUCACUUUCCAUAUCUAUAAGCAAGGCAUGAAGUUCAUGUCCCAUGCUUAGGAAUUAUAACAAUAGAUAUAUUCUGUCUUAGAUUGUUGAGAGAAAACCAAGUUUGACAUCCUACUUAGAUUGUUUUAUUUGGUUAUUUUGUGAAGUCGAAACUACUCGGUAGAUAGUAUAUACCAACUUAGCCUAUGUGAUUAGUGUUUAUAUUAAAGUUGCAGAUAAAUAGCAUUUGAUUGACAUGCAAUAGAAAUAUAUAUAGGACAAGAAUUGACACUCAAGGAUAACAUCAGAUUGUAAUAUUAAGUAAAAAUAAUAAAAGCCAUUCAGGAAAAAAAAAAGCAUACAAUUCAAAAAUAAAACAAGAAUCAUAUUUAGAAUCCACCCACCAUGAUAAAUCUAUUUUCUAUGAUAAUAGGCAAAGAAGUAUAUGUUCUUUAAUUUAAUUAGUAAAAAUUAAAAAACUUAACACAUGGCUGCAGAUGUAACUCACAAUUAUCAGUAUAACUAUUUAUUUAACCUUAAGUUCAAGGACUAGGUUGCAAUGAGGAUAAAAGUUGGGUGAUGGUGGUCUAUUUGACCCAGGAUACAACCUCUGGUCAUAACAAUACAUGAUGUUAAAACAACCCCGUUUUAUAUUUGACAGCAAAAAUAGUCAUCAUUGCACUUAAAAGCUUCUUUGAUGUAAAAAUCUGAUUGCAAAGACUUAUAAAUUGCUUGUCAAACUUGCAGUUUCUUGAAAUAUGAAUUCUAGUUAAGUAAAAGAAGCAUGCAACAAUCAUUUAAUUUUUAUAUGGCAAUAAGAUGAGUUAAGAAACUUCCACACUGUAUUUGAACAUGAGUAUCUAACUUACUAGCAAUAAGCAACAUAAUACAACCAUUCAUCAAACUUACCAGGUAAUAUAUUAAGUUUAGAAUUGGAUGGUUCAAAACAUUAAGGUCAGCACCUUUGUCAAAUGCAUUAAAGCACAUCUACACAAAAAAAUAAUAGAGCUCAAAUUAGAUAAGUUUUGGACAAAUGAUCAACGAUUGAUCAAUUAGAUAAAUGAUCUAAACCAACUAGCAGCUAAAGGGUUCAACUUGAAUACUUCCGUUUUUUAACAAAAACGCUAUAAACAUUAUAUGCAUCUAAAAGUUUCACAAAGACAAAAUAAAACAAGCUUGUAGCCUUCUCAAGAGAAAUACAAAGGGUUAGUAAAGCCAGAAAAGUCUACCAUGAUGCAUCUGACUAGGAAACAUGUGAAGCAUAUGGUUGUCACAUAACCAACCUGCCCAAUCCAAAAAGAAAUAACAAUCAAAAAAUGCAAAUGGAUGGCAAAAUUGUUGGACUCAAAACCACAACUGCAUUAACGUAAAUAUAUACUUCUUGCAACUUCUUACGCCGUCCUUUGGACUCUACAGGGAACCGCUGCAACAUUAAGAAAAGCCUGCAAUGACUGGAUAUGUUAUUAUAUAGCUUUCCCAUGCUCACACAAUAGACAAGGGAAAAAACCACUCUUUUAAAUCACAAACCAGAUAUCAAAGCUUAUGUAAUCAUAUAAAAAGAAAAUGAUAUAGAGGUUUUAAAAUGUGUGCUCCCUAAACAUAAACCAAAUUAUCACACUAAGCUAGCUCCAAUGCCAGUAAAACAAUUAGACACAAUACAAUAAAUGUCAAUGCAGUUACCUUCCACCAUACAGUAAAAAGCCAAGUGCCGCAAACAGUGAAACACCUGCCCAUAUACAGUGAGGAUCAAAUAUUCAUUCAUUAUCGAAACAAAUUACAACUGGAUUAACAUUUAUAAAGAAUCUAAACUAAGUGAUUAUCCUGAAUCAUGGUACAUCAACAGAGCACCAAAGUUACUCAACAGUUAACUACAAAAAAUCUACUAAAAACACCAAAAAGACUUACCUGCAAAGAACAUUUUAGAUAGAAUGACUAAAACUGGGAUAUAUUUCCACCACAAUAUCAGCCACAUUGCAAUCUGAAAUCAAGGACACCCAGCCUCAUGUUAGAGAAACUUUAUUAACAUCUUGUCAGAAGCAAUGAUCCAAAGGAAAUUAAGUAUGCAACAGCACUUACAAAGGUGACAGAAUCACUAAACUUGCUAGAUAAGAAAAAAUAUAUACCUAUGUUACUUAGACUCGGGUGUGAGUGUCAGAUACGAGUAUGUAUCCGACAUAGAUAUGGUUAGUUUUUCUAAGUUUUUCUAUGUAUUUGAAGGAUCCUAGGAGGUCAUAUCUUCAUAUCCGUGUUUCGGACAUAAAUGUCGGUCAUGGGUACUUCAUGAAAAAUGGAGAGUCCGAACAACUUAGAUAUAUUUUGUGGGUUCAUAUUUACUACUAAAAUUUGCAAGUGCUAGAAA
Long non-coding RNA from Gossypium arboreum, 2711 nucleotides. RefSeq lists it as uncharacterized. The transcript is spliced from 4 exons. The record is from RefSeq and is a predicted model, not a curated record. NCBI's taxonomy places the organism in Eukaryota, Viridiplantae, Streptophyta, Magnoliopsida, Malvales, Malvaceae.